RNAcentral lists this ribosomal RNA (1054 nucleotides) under uncultured organism. Its description in RNAcentral is "bacterial SSU rRNA". It matches the Rfam family "Bacterial small subunit ribosomal RNA", at positions 199 to 1280 of the family's 1533-position model. The record is from RNAcentral.
GAGUAAAGAUUUCGGUCGCUUUGGGAGGAGCUCGCUUACUAUCAGCUUGUUGGUAGGGUAAUGGCCUACCAAGGCUAUGACGGUUAGGGGGUGUGAGAGCAUGACCCCCAGCAUUGGCACUGAAACACUGGCCAAACACCUACGGGUGGCUGCAGUCGAGAAUCUUCCACAAUGGGGGAAACCCUGAUGGAGCGAUGCUGCGUGCGGGAUGAAGGCCUUCGGGUUGUAAACCGCUUUUGUAGGGGACGAAAUUUUUGACGGUACCCUUUCGAAUAAGAGGUUGCUAACUCUGUGCCAGCAGCAGCGGUAAUACAGAGACCUCAAGCGUUAUCCGGAUUUACUGGGCGUAAAGCGUCUGUAGGGGGUUUAUUAAGUUCCAAGUAAAAUUUCAAGGCUCAACUUUGAAUUCGCUUGGAAAACUAAUAAACUGGAGUCUAGCAGAGGUGCAUGGAACUUGUGGUGUAGGAGUGAAAUCCGUUGAUAUCACAAGGAACACCAAAGGCGAAGGCAUUGCACUGGGCAAGCACUGACCCUGAGAGACGAAAGCGUGGGGAGCAAAACGGAUUAGAUACCCGUGUAGUCCACGCCCUAAACGAUGAAUGCUAAAUGUUCGGGGAUUCGACCCCCUGGGUGUUACAGCUAACGCGUUAAGCAUUCCGCCUGGGAAGUACGGCCGCAAGGCUAAAACUCAAAGGAAUAGACGGGGAUCCGCACAAGCGGUGGAGCGUCUGGUUUAAUUCGACAGUAAGCGUGGUACCUCACCAGGGUUUGACAUCCCUUGACAGCCUUGGAAACAAGGUUUCCUUCGGGCAAGGUGACAGGUGCUGCAUGGUCGUCGUCAGUUCGUGCCGUGAGGUGUUCCGCUAAGUCGGGAAACUGAACGAAACCCGUAUUGCAUGUUACAAUUUGUCACUGCAAGACUGCCUGGAUAUACUGGGAGGAAGGUGGGGAUGACGUCACAUGUGCAUGGUCCUUAUACCCUGGGCGACACAGGCGCUACAAUGGCAGAGAUCAAAAGGGUUGCAAAACCGCAAGGUGAAGCUAAUCCCAAAAA